RNAcentral lists this ribosomal RNA (641 nucleotides) under uncultured bacterium. Its description in RNAcentral is "bacterial SSU rRNA". It matches the Rfam family "Bacterial small subunit ribosomal RNA", at positions 241 to 882 of the family's 1533-position model. The record is from RNAcentral.
UUAGGUAGUAGGCGGGGUAACGGCCCACCUAGCCAACGAUGGAUAGGGGUUCUGAGAGGAAGGUCCCCCACAUUGGAACUGAGACACGGUCCAAACUCCUACGGGAGGCAGCAGUGAGGAAUAUUGGUCAAUGGACGAGAGUCUGAACCAGCCAAGUAGCGUGAAGGAUGAAGGUCCUACGGAUUGUAAACUUCUUUUAUAAGGGAAUAAACCCUCCCACGUGUGGGAGCUUGUAUGUACCUUAUGAAUAAGCAUCGGCUAACUCCGUGCCAGCAGCCGCGGUAAUACGGAGGAUGCGAGCGUUAUCCGGAUUUAUUGGGUUUAAAGGGAGCGCAGACGGGUCGUUAAGUCAGCUGUGAAAGUUUGGGGCUCAACCUUAAAAUUGCAGUUGAUACUGGCGUCCUUGAGUGCGGUUGAGGUGUGCGGAAUUCGUGGUGUAGCGGUGAAAUGCUUAGAUAUCACGAAGAACUCCGAUUGCGAAGGCAGCACACUAAUCCGUAACUGACGUUCAUGCUCGAAAGUGUGGGUAUCAAACAGGAUUAGAUACCCUGGUAGUCCACACGGUAAACGAUGGAUACUCGCUGUUGGCGAUAUACGGUCAGCGGCUUAGCGAAAGCGUUAAGUAUCCCACCUGGGGAGUA